GGUUAAGUUAGAAAGGGCGCACGGUGGAUGCCUUGACACUAGGAGUCGAUGAAGGACGGGACUAACGCCGAUAUGCUUCGGGGAGCUGUAAGUAAGCUUUGAUCCGAAGAUUUCCGAAUGGGGAAACCCACUAUACGUAAUGGUAUGGUAUCCUUACCUGAAUACAUAGGGUAUGGAAGACAGACCCAGGGAACUGAAACAUCUAAGUACCUGGAGGAAGAGAAAGCAAAUGCGAUUUCCUGAGUAGCGGCGAGCGAAACGGAAUCUAGCCCAAACCAAGAGGCUUGCCUCUUGGGGUUGUAGGACAUUCUAUACGGAGUUACAAAGGAACGAGGUAGACGAAGCGACCUGGAAAGGUCCGUCACAGAGGGUAAUAACCCCGUAGUCGAAACUUCGUUCUCUCUUGAAUGUAUCCUGAGUACGGCGGAACACGUGAAAUUCCGUCGGAAUCUGGGAGGACCAUCUCCCAAGGCUAAAUACUCCCUAGUGAUCGAUAGUGAACCAGUACCGUGAGGGAAAGGGUCGAC
RNAcentral lists this ribosomal RNA (527 nucleotides) under Bacillus cereus. RNAcentral's name for it is "bacterial LSU rRNA". It matches the Rfam family "Bacterial large subunit ribosomal RNA", at positions 1 to 520 of the family's 2925-position model. Lineage: Bacteria; Bacillati; Bacillota; Bacilli; Caryophanales; Bacillaceae. RNAcentral also lists the same sequence under 1 other name. The record is from RNAcentral.